CCCAAUUUUGUAUUGAAAAUAGGAAACUAAACUGAUUGUAAACAACUAGAAGAAUCAACUACAUUUACAAGUACAUGAAAUGAACAAACCAAACAAUAAAAACAAAAUGAUCUACUCCUUAAGCCAAAAUUACAUGAAAUAACCUAGAAUUGGGAUAAAAAAUAUUGAUAGACGAAAAAAGUGAAAUACGACAUAAACAUAAAAUAUAUAAGACUAAACUACUAGAGAUAGGAAGAAAUGAAAGCUAAAGAACAAAAGUGUCUUACCUUAAGCAGCCACGCGACCACUUACACGCCACAACACACUCAGACCGGCCGUUUGAAGGGAUCAGGAACAACAAAAUGUUGCGACUGCUCUCUACAAAAGACGGGACUGAACUCAAAUGAACUUCUGAUGAUGAUAACUAUUUUUGUUCUCAAAAAAAGAAAAAAAAACGACCUAAGAAUUAAGUGAGAUUGAAUACACCUGGCAACAUUUAUCAAAUAUUAUCUUUUUCCAGUGGGAGUCGUACUUGUCAGCUGGUGAAGAAUAAUGGUUGACUGUCAGAUUCAAAUUAAUUCCGAAAGCGCCCCCAACAAGUUGUUAGUCCUUAUUUUGAGAAAAUCAAGCUGACAGCCAGAAUAUACAUAAGCGGACCGUCAAUGAGUGGAAAGAGCAAACUUGUGUUGGAUAUGCUUCAGCACCGCGAUGAAGCAUUUCGAGGUUCUUUUUCUCGAGCUAUUUAUUGUGGCCCAUCUGCUCACGACUUCAAAUUUACAUCGCUUUUGGUUUUGCUUUGAAACCUUGAACUUGCGAUUUCCAUUGAUUCGUGGAGCCCAUUACAUAAUGAUUUAUUUGGCAACGGACUCAAACCUACCGCCGGAUUUAAUGUUUCGAAGUUUUAUUUUACAACCGAACAUCAAAU
Tigriopus californicus is the source of this 904-nucleotide long non-coding RNA. RefSeq lists it as uncharacterized. The transcript is spliced from 3 exons. The record is from RefSeq and is a predicted model, not a curated record. NCBI's taxonomy places the organism in Eukaryota, Metazoa, Arthropoda, Copepoda, Harpacticoida, Harpacticidae.